UGGGGAAUCUUAGACAAUGGGCGCAAGCCUGAUCUAGCGAUGCCGCGUGAGUGACGAAGGCCCUAGGGUCGUAAAGCUCUUUCGCCAGGGAUGAUAAUGACAGUACCUGGUAAAGAAACCCCGGCUAACUCCGUGCCAGCAGCCGCGGUAAUACGGAGGGGGUUAGCGUUGUUCGGAAUUACUGGGCGUAAAGCGCGCGUAGGCGGAUUGGAAAGUUGGGGGUGAAAUCCCGGGGCUCAACCCCGGAACUGCCUCCAAAACUAUCAAUCUAGAGUUCGAGAGAGGUGAGUGGAAUUCCGAGUGUAGAGGUGAAAUUCGUAGAUAUUCGGAGGAACACCAGUGGCGAAGGCGGCUCACUGGCUCGAUACUGACGCUGAGGUGCGAAAGUGUGGGGAGCAAACAGGAUUAGAUACCCCCGUAGUCC
This 424-nucleotide ribosomal RNA is filed under the name uncultured prokaryote. Its description in RNAcentral is "bacterial SSU rRNA". It matches the Rfam family "Bacterial small subunit ribosomal RNA", at positions 355 to 796 of the family's 1533-position model. The record is from RNAcentral.